This is a long non-coding RNA of Oreochromis aureus, 740 nucleotides long. The record is from Ensembl. Lineage: Eukaryota; Metazoa; Chordata; Actinopteri; Cichliformes; Cichlidae.
AGUUGCUCAGGCCUUUUGAUGCUCAUCUGUUCAUUUGAGCUUAGCUCUGCUUUUAACUUACUCGAUUCUCUUCCCCUUCUCCUCAGAGAACCAGCUGGAAAGCCUGCCCGCAACUUGCUCGCUCACCUUCUUUGCCCACUCUCACCCCACAUGCUGGAACGCUUACCUGCCUCACACAGCCAAGUGCUGCCACCAUUAAUCCUGUGGAGAGAAGGAGAAAGUGUUUGGUCUGGAAACUGGGCAAUUUAGAAGUGGUUUCCAGAAGGAGCAGAUCGGAUUCUUUGUGAGCGGGAAAACAGAAUCUUGUACUUGUUGUAUACAGACUUAUAGGAAAGGACAGGGAGCUUUAGUCGGCCUUCCCGAGCAGCCGUGACUAAACUGGAAAAGAAACAGUGGAGGAAGACAAAAUGCUCCCUCCCACCUCCGUAACCCGCUGUUCAGCCGAAAGGUUAUUAUUCAGCAUGUUUGAGCCUACACCUGCCCGUCCUCCUGCCCGCCUGGAGUUCAGAUUAGCCACCGGUCAUCAUCUCCUCCACCUUCCUGUAGCCCUCUCCCGCGGACCCUCACCCCUCCCUCCGGUUCCCACGGCCAAGCCCUGAUUCCUCCCACGGUCCCGAUCACGGCGUUCCCGAGUUGUUAUCUCCCGGUCCCUUGGCUCUAAUAUUACACUGCGUGUUUUCCUUUGAUCAUUCCGGGACACCCUUAGUUUGAGAAAUAAAGUUGUUCUGCGUGCAUCCCGG